This is a non-coding RNA of Pelobates cultripes (western spadefoot toad), 238 nucleotides long. The record is from the annotation of a GenBank genome assembly. Lineage: Eukaryota; Metazoa; Chordata; Amphibia; Anura; Pelobatidae.
GUUUAUUGUAUAGGAUAACGUCUCAUAUACUCCUGACAUGUUUCGAUAAGCCUGUUGUAUUAUUACGUAAGACACGUUGAAUAGGCCUGUGACUACACAAGUUAACCUAAAGAUGUAUGCAGUGAUUACCUAAUGAGCCCUCUCUAUAAAUUACAAGCGAACCAUACAUCAGCAUGUUCUCUCUUGUUCAAAAAAGAUGUGUGACUAUCUCAUACCAUGACACUGUAUAUUUCUGUAC